UUUGCGGUUCUUCGACCGUGCAAAGGUAGCAUAAUCAUUUGCCUUAUAAUUGAAGGCUUGUAUGAAUGGUUUGACAAGAAUGUAGCUGUCUCUUUAUAAUUAAAUAGAAUUUUAUUUAUAGGUGAAGAAGCCUAUAUAAUAUUGAAAGACAAGAAGACCCUAUCGAGCUUGAAAGAAAUUAAUAAAUUCUAUAUAUUUAAUAUAAUAUAAAAAAUUAGUUAUUAAAAAUUUUGGUUGGGGCGACUAAGGAACAAAUAAAGCUUCCUUUAUUUUAGUAAUACAACCAAGUAAGGAUCCAAAAGCUUUGAUUAAAGGAAUUAGUUACCGUAGGGAUAACAGCAUUAUCUUUUUUGAGAGCUCUAAUCGAAAAAAAGGUUUGUGACCUCGAUGUUGGACCAGAAUAUCCUAAAGAUGCAGCCGUCUUUAAGGGUUGGUCUGUUCGACCAUUAAAGUUCUACGUGAAA
Molecule: ribosomal RNA, 464 nt
Filed under: Boreotrophon xestra
Lineage: Eukaryota; Metazoa; Mollusca; Gastropoda; Neogastropoda; Muricidae
Description: partial 16S ribosomal RNA
Rfam family: Bacterial large subunit ribosomal RNA
Source: RNAcentral